AGAGUUUGAUCAUGGCUCAGGAUGAACGCUGGCGGUAUGCGUGAUACAUGCAAGUCGUACGAGAGUUUUUAACUCUAGUGGCGGACGGGGUGAGUAACACGUAAGAAUUUGCCUUUAGGAGGGGGACAACAACUGGAAACGGUUGCUAAUACCCCAUAUGCUUUCGAGUGAAAUGGAUUUCCGCCUAAAGAGAAGCUUGCGGCUGAUUAGCUUGUUGGUAGGGUAAUGGCCUACCAAGGCGACGAUCAGUAUCUGGUUUGAGAGGACGAUCAGACACACUGGAACUGAGACACGGUCCAGACUCCUACGGGAGGCAGCAGUAGGGAAUUUUCCGCAAUGGGCGAAAGCCUGACGGAGCAAUACCGCGUGAGGGAUGACUGCCUAUGGGUUGUAAACCUCUUUUUUCAGGGAGGAAUAAAUGACGUGUACCUGAAGAAUAAGCAUCGUCUAACUCCGUGCCAGCAGCCGCGGUAAGACGGAGGAUGCAAGUGUUAUCCGGAAUCACUGGGCGUAAAGCGUCUGUAGGUGGUUUGAUAAGUCAACUGUUAAAUCUUGAAGCUCAACUUCAAAAUCGCAGUCGAAACUAUCAGACUAGAGUAUAGUA
RNAcentral lists this ribosomal RNA (604 nucleotides) under uncultured Crater Lake bacterium CL0-38. RNAcentral's name for it is "bacterial SSU rRNA". It matches the Rfam family "Bacterial small subunit ribosomal RNA", at positions 8 to 653 of the family's 1533-position model. The record is from RNAcentral.